GUCCACGCCCUAAACGAUGAAUACUCGAUGUUGGCGAUAUACAGUCAGCGUCUAAGCGAAAGCGUUAAGUAUUCCACCUGGGGAGUACGUCCGCAAGGAUGAAACUCAAAGAAAUUGGCGGGGGUCCGCACAAGCGGUGGAUUAUGUGGUUUAAUUCGAUGAUACGCGAGGAACCUUACCAGGGCUAGAAUGGGAGGAGAAUAUGUGGGAAACCAUAUAGCUAGCAAUAGCUGCUUCCAAGGUGCUGCAUGGUUGUCGU
RNAcentral lists this ribosomal RNA (259 nucleotides) under uncultured bacterium. Its description in RNAcentral is "partial 16S ribosomal RNA". It matches the Rfam family "Bacterial small subunit ribosomal RNA", at positions 793 to 1055 of the family's 1533-position model. The record is from RNAcentral.